UUUUGGGGUUGGUUAUGGGAUUUUGGGGGUCGGUUAUGGGGGUCAGUUGUGGGGUUUGGGGUCACUUGGGUUGGUUAUGGGGUCAGUCAGUUGGGGUGAUAGGGUCGGUUAUGGGGCUUGGGGUCAUUUGGCUUGUUGGUUAUGGGGUUUUGGGGAUGGUUAUGGGGUUUGGGGUCAGUUAUGGGGUGUGGGGUGAGUUAUGGGGUCAGUUAUGGGGUUUGGGGUCAGUUAUGGGGUUUGGGGUCACUUGUGGGGUUGUUGGUUAUGGGGUUUUGGGGAUGGUUAUGGGGUUUGGGGUCAGUUAUGGGGUUUUGGGGUCACUUGGGUUGUUGGUUAUGGGGUCAGUUAUGGGGUGUGGGGUCACUUGGGUUGUUGGUUAUGGGGUUUGGGGUCAGUUGUGGGGUUGGUUAUGGGGUUUUGGGGUUGGUUAUGGGA
This 435-nucleotide long non-coding RNA is filed under the name Numida meleagris (helmeted guineafowl). RNAcentral describes it as "lncRNA (ENSNMEG00000000481.1)". The record is from RNAcentral. Lineage: Eukaryota; Metazoa; Chordata; Aves; Galliformes; Numididae.